Oncorhynchus tshawytscha (Chinook salmon) is the source of this 2042-nucleotide long non-coding RNA. NCBI's taxonomy places the organism in Eukaryota, Metazoa, Chordata, Actinopteri, Salmoniformes, Salmonidae. The record is from Ensembl.
ACUUGGUUAUAUACACAGGGUACCAGGUAAUAACAUGGCUAUAUACACAGGGUACCAGGUAAUAACAUGGCUAUAUACACAGGGUACCAGGUAAUAACUAGGCUAUAUACACAGGGUACCAGGUAAUAACAUGGCUAUAUACACAGGGUACCAGGUAAUUACUUGGUUAUAUACACAGGGUACCAGGUAAUAACAUGGUUAUAUACACAGGGUACCAGGUAAUUACUUGGCUAUAUACACAGGGGUACCAGUUAAUUACUUGGCUAUAUACACAGGCUACCAGGUAAUAACUUGGCUAUAUACACAGGGUACCACUACCAAGUCAAUGUGUAGUGGUAGAGGUAAUAACAUGGCUAUAUACACAGGGUACCAGUACCAAGUCAAUGUGCAGGGGUACGAGGUAAUGGUACGAGGUAAUUUACCCCUACCUAUAUGUACAUAUAGGUAGGGGUAAAGUGACUCGGCAUCAGGAUAGAUAAUAGACAGUAGCAGCAGCGUACGUGAUGAGUCAAAAGAGUUAGUGCAAAGUGGGUCAGUGCAGAUAGUCCAGGUAGCUCUCUACAGUGGAGGUCCUGGAUGGCAGGAAGCUCAGCCCCAGUGAUGUACCGGGCUUUCCUCUGACACCGCCUGGUAUAGAGGUCCUGGAUGGCAGGAAGCUCAGCCCCAGUGAUGUACCGGGCCUUUCCUCUGACACCGCCUGGUAUAGAGGUCCUGGAUGGCAGGGAGCUCGGCCCCAGUGAUGUACCGGGCCGGGCCCAGUACCGUCAUUAGCGCCUGGCGGUCGGUCGGAUGCCGAGCAGUCGCCAUACUAAGCGGUGAUACAGGCUGUUGAACGUUUUGAGGAUCUGAGGGCCCAUGCCAAAUCUUGGCAAUCUUGGCAAUCUUGGCAAUCUUCUCUUUAGAAGAGGCGUUGUGGUGCUGGUGUGUGUGGACCACGAUAGUUCCUUAGUGAUGUGGACACCGAGGAACUUAUAAAGCUCUCGCUCCACUACGGCCCCCUUCAAUGUGGAUGGGAGGCGUGCUCACUUCUCCAUUUCCUGUAGUCCACGAUCAGCUCCUUUUUGUCUUGUAACACCCCCCCCCUCUCCUUCAAAAUCGUCACCCUGACCUUCAAAAUAGGCUAUUUGGCAUUGUGAUGUCAUAAUCUCCCCAAAUCCGGUCUGAUCCUGUGGUGUUGUGAGGGAUUUAUUCUAUGGCUUCAUCUAUGGGGUUGGACCUGCCUCUCGUAGGCUGUUUCCUAGUAGCUCCUGAGCUUCGUUAUGAAAGAGAGAUCCGUGGUUCCAGCAGCUCGCUGCCUGUCAGUACUGCUGAGGGGGGGGGAAACACAUCUCUUCUUUGUUGUUGCUGCACUUUCCUCCUCCUGCUGCUGCUGCUGCUGCUGCCGCCACUGGCUGGGGGUGGGACUGCAGCGGUCAUCCGGGCUAUGGAGCAAGACUCAGGAUUUACAUAAUCCACACUGUGAAUUAACGACUGAAGUCUAAAUGCUCACAUUCUCCCUUGGAGAGGGGGAGGGGAGAGAGAGAGAGGGAGGGGAGAGAGAGAGGUGGGGAAGAAAGAGACAGAGAGAAUGAGACAGAGAGAGGGAGCGUUGGAGAGAGAGAGAGGUAGGGGAGAGAGAGAGAGAGAGAAUGAGACAGAGAGAGGGAGCGUUGGAGAGAGAGAGAGGUAGGGGAGAGAGAGAGAGAGAGAGAGAGAGAGAGAGAGAGAGAGAGAGAGAGAGAGAGAGGUGGAGAGAGAGAUGUGGGGGUGGUGAGACAGACUACAGGCUGCUGCCAGUGUUAUUCCAUUGUGCUGUCACUUCCUGCUCUAGGAACAUGUUGGAUUACAAAUCAGUCAUUAUAUAUGCAGUACCCAGUUUAGAUCACAGCCCUCUUCAGAGGAGGCAGUACUUCAGAGGAAGAGGGAGAGGUACAGGGAAUCUUCUAGUUCUCAUUACAGUAUUCUGCCUGUUUUGUUUUGUUAGUGUCACUGACAAUGUGUUACUGGCGUAUGAUGAUGUUGUUGUGUAACGUCCCAGGGACCCCAACAACCACUGUGAAAAC